CCUACGGGGGGCAGCAGUGGGGAAUUUUGGUCAAUGGCCGGAAGGCUGAACCAGCCAUGCCGCGUGUAGGUCAGUGCCCUAUGGGCGUUAAACUUCUUUUGUGCGGGAGCAAUAAUGGUCACGUGUGGCCAGACGAGAGUACCGUACGAAUAAGCAUCAGCUAACUCAGUUCCAGCAGCCGCAGUAAUACGGGGGAUGCAAGCGUUAUCCGGAUUUAUUGGUUUUAAAGGGUUCGUAGGCUGUGAGGAAAGUCCACAGUGAAAUGCCACCGCUCAACGGGGUGAAGUGCCAUUGAUACUGCUUGGCUGGAAUGCGGAUGCGGAGGGAGGAAUGUGUGGUGUAGCGGUGAAAUGCAUAGAUAUCACACAGAACACCGAUUGCGAAGGCAUCUCACGAAUCCGCGAUUGACGCUGAUGCACGAAAGCGUGGGUAGCAAACAGGAUUAGAUACCCGAGUAGUC
Molecule: ribosomal RNA, 460 nt
Filed under: uncultured bacterium
Lineage: Bacteria
Description: partial 16S ribosomal RNA
Rfam family: Bacterial small subunit ribosomal RNA
Source: RNAcentral